AUUGAACGCUGGCGGCAUGCUUUACACAUGCAAGUCGAACGGCAGCGCGGGCUUCGGCCUGGCGGCGAGUGGCGAACGGGUGAGUAAUGCAUCGGAACGUGCCCAGUAGUGGGGAUAGCCCGGCGAAAGCCGGAUUAAUACCGCAUACGACCUGAGGGUGAAAGCGGGGGACCGAAAGGCCUCGCGCUAUUGGAGCGGCCGAUGUCGGAUUAGCUAGUUGGUGGGGUAAAGGCUUACCAAGGCGACGAUCCGUAGCUGGUCUGAGAGGACGACCAGCCACACUGGGACUGAGACACGGCCCAGACUCCUACGGGAGGCAGCAGUGGGGAAUUUUGGACAAUGGGGGCAAACCUGAUCCAGCCAUGCCGCGUGCGGGAAGAAGGCCUUCGGGUUGUAAAACGCUUUUGUUCGGGAAGAAAUCCUCUGGGCUAAUACCCCGGGGGGAUGACGGUACCGGAAGAAUAAGCACCGGCUAACUACGUG
This 483-nucleotide ribosomal RNA is filed under the name uncultured bacterium. Its description in RNAcentral is "partial 16S ribosomal RNA". It matches the Rfam family "Bacterial small subunit ribosomal RNA", at positions 29 to 507 of the family's 1533-position model. The record is from RNAcentral.